UACGUAGGGUGCAAGCGUUGUCCGGAAUCAUUGGGCGUAAAGCGCGUGUAGGCGGCCAGAUAAGUCCGCUGUGAAAUCUCGAGGCUCAACUUCGAGCUGUCGGUGGAAACUGUCUGGCUAGAGUCCGGAAGAGGAGAAUGGAAUUCCUGGUGUAGCGGUGAAAUGCGCAGAUAUCAGGAAGAACACCCGUGGCGAAGGCGGUUCUCUGGGACGGUACUGACGCUGAGACGCGAAAGCGUGGGGAGCGAACAGG
RNAcentral lists this ribosomal RNA (253 nucleotides) under uncultured bacterium. RNAcentral's name for it is "partial 16S ribosomal RNA". It matches the Rfam family "Bacterial small subunit ribosomal RNA", at positions 524 to 776 of the family's 1533-position model. The record is from RNAcentral.